This is a long non-coding RNA of Brachypodium distachyon (stiff brome), 989 nucleotides long. RefSeq lists it as uncharacterized. NCBI's taxonomy places the organism in Eukaryota, Viridiplantae, Streptophyta, Magnoliopsida, Poales, Poaceae. The record is from RefSeq and is a predicted model, not a curated record. The transcript has 2 exons.
ACUCUAUUAGGUACACAGGGUGGAGAAUAGUUAUUCUGUGCCCCGGUCAGUCUAACUAGCCACGCCCGGACUCCACCCGAUCGAACCUGACGCGUAAUUCAUCUUUGUUUUGUUUACAACGACGGUUUUCUCCUGAUUGAGCCCACCUUCCGCUCGAAGAAAAGCCCAAAAUCGUGCGUGUGGUUCGGUCGGAAUCGGGGUGGCGUUUCGGCGGCGACUGGCGAGCGGCUGCAGCUGGAAUUGCGGCGAGCCUAGGUGGCAGCCGCGGCUGGGGAACGCGGCUGAGAGGGGCGCGAGAGCAGACGCUCGCCGGCGCCGGCGCCGGCGGUUGGGGAAGGCGCAGGCGGCGGCGGCUGGCUACCACCACAUCACCGGCCACCACCCCAAGGUCCUCCGCUGCCAGAAACCAGCAUCCUAUCGACGAUGUCUUCCCAGAACUGCAGCGACGAGAUGGAGCUUAGAAGAGCUGGAUUAGGGAGGGUUGUCAUGGCUAGCUGCGGCUCUUGUUGGAGGGUUUCUCGCGCCGUCGCUGCUUGCUGCUAUAGCUGCCGGCGCCUCUGCCGGCGCCGCUGCCGGUGCCGCCGUAGUCUAAUCUUGCCGCGGCCACAAGCUCGAGGCCCACUACAGUACCUUAGGCGGCGCUGCCUUGGUCGGCGGGUGCGCCUUGCCCCGUGCGGUGUCAUGCCCAAUCGGGAUGAACAACCAGAGAUACAGAGAAAGGGGAUGAGGAGCAGAGAAGUUUAGGUGAGGGUUCAGAAUUCUUCCUUACAUCGAUAAGAAAAGACUGAGUAACCAGGGCUGGCUUAUACAAUGCCAGCUUCAGACUUAAAACUGGAGCCCAAACCUGGAUGGAUUACUCAUCACCUGCUCCUCUUGACUUGGUGGAAGACGCCUUUUCUUCCGUUGCCUUCUCCUUGUGGCUGAUACUUCUAGUAGCUGUAUUUUCCGAUGCCUUUUCUUUAUGAUUGAGUGCAGGUUCAGUUUCUUCA